Arabidopsis thaliana (thale cress) is the source of this 279-nucleotide long non-coding RNA. RefSeq annotates it as other RNA. The record is from RefSeq. Lineage: Eukaryota; Viridiplantae; Streptophyta; Magnoliopsida; Brassicales; Brassicaceae. The transcript has a single exon.
AAGAUGAGUGCGUGGAGAGUGUGCCUUGGCUGGAAAGUAAGUAAAGCAGGUGAAGCAAUUUAAUAGUCUGUCUCUUCUGCAGCAAAAGGUUUGGUUUUGUUUCCUCUCUCUCUCUGUCUCUCUAUAUACAUCUGUGGCUUCCACCAUGUGAACAAGAACCACGUGCAAGCUUAUGUGUGUGUAAGUAAGUGUGUGUAAUUUAAGAGUGGGAGAAGAAGGUGUCUGUUUGUCUUGUACCAUCAAGCAUUUAUUCUUUGUUGCCUACACCAAUCAAACCCU